AAAACAAUAUCCUAUCCUAUAAAUACAGAGACAACAAGUACAAUGCCAAAGGAUAUCUCUCUCUCUUUCUCUUUCUUUUGUUUAAGCAACCAAGAACAAACAAACAAACAAACCUCGUAACUCUUCAUCUUCCUCUUCUGUCCAAAUCAUCAUCACGUUCUUUCUCUGAUUCCACAAUCUUCUUCUUCCACCACCGCUUUUUGUUUUCUCUCUUUUUCUGUUACUUUCCUAACACACAAAGUUUCUCUCUUUCUUUCUGAAAUCUCUGUCUCUGAUUGUCCCUUUUCCCAAAGUUUGUUAAUUUUUUCUUCAAUUGUGUUUAUUCUCUUCUGGGUCAUUCUCUUUUGGUUCUUGAAAUGCCUAAUUGGACCAAACACAAAGGGAACAAUCAAAAUUCUCAGGUGGGUCAGUGGCAAUCCCCACCCUUUAAUGGAAAACCACCUUUGCCAAAACCACCUGUGCCUGUAG
RNAcentral lists this long non-coding RNA (468 nucleotides) under Trifolium pratense (red clover). RNAcentral's name for it is "long non-coding RNA (TPRA_LNC003018)". The record is from RNAcentral. Lineage: Eukaryota; Viridiplantae; Streptophyta; Magnoliopsida; Fabales; Fabaceae.